AGUGAACGCUGGCGGUAGGCCUAACACAUGCAAGUCGAACGGCAGCACAGUAAGAGCUUGCUCUUACGGGUGGCGAGUGGCGGACGGGUGAGGAAUACAUCGGAAUCUACUUUUUCGUGGGGGAUAACGUAGGGAAACUUACGCUAAUACCGCAUACGACCUACGGGUGAAAGCAGGGGAUCUUCGGACCUUGCGCGAUUGAAUGAGCCGAUGUCGGAUUAGCUAGUUGGCGGGGUAAGGGCCCACCAAGGCGACGAUCCGUAGCUGGUCUGAGGGGAUGAUCAGCCACACUGGAACUGAGACACGGUCCAGACUCCUACGGGAGGCAGCAGUGGGGAAUAUUGGACAAAGGGCGCAAGCCUGAUCCAGCCAUACCGCGUGGGUGAAGAAGGCCUUCGGGUUGUAAAGCCCUUUUGUUGGGAAAGAAAAGCAGCAGGUUAAUACCCCGCUGUUCUGACGGUACCCAAAGAAUAAGCACCGGCUAACUUCGUG
Molecule: ribosomal RNA, 492 nt
Filed under: uncultured bacterium
Lineage: Bacteria
Description: partial 16S ribosomal RNA
Rfam family: Bacterial small subunit ribosomal RNA
Source: RNAcentral